Molecule: transfer RNA, 81 nt
Filed under: Ceratobasidium sp. AG-Ba
Lineage: Eukaryota; Fungi; Basidiomycota; Agaricomycetes; Cantharellales; Ceratobasidiaceae
Also listed under: 7 other names
Rfam family: tRNA
About the family: Transfer RNA (tRNA) molecules are approximately 80 nucleotides in length. Their secondary structure includes four short double-helical elements and three loops (D, anti-codon, and T loops). Further hydrogen bonds mediate the characteristic L-shaped molecular structure. tRNAs have two regions of fundamental functional importance: the anti-codon, which is responsible for specific mRNA codon recognition, and the 3' end, to which the tRNAs corresponding amino acid is attached (by aminoacyl-tRNA synthetases). tRNAs cope with the degeneracy of the genetic code in two manners: having more than one tRNA (with a specific anti-codon) for a particular amino acid; and 'wobble' base-pairing, i.e. permitting non-standard base-pairing at the 3rd anti-codon position.
Source: Rfam by way of RNAcentral
GCCUGGCUAGCUCAAUCGGUAGAGCGUGAGACUCUUAAAACAGUCAUCUCAAGGUUGUGGGUUCGACCCCCACGUUAGGCU